Molecule: ribosomal RNA, 253 nt
Filed under: uncultured bacterium
Lineage: Bacteria
Description: partial 16S ribosomal RNA
Rfam family: Bacterial small subunit ribosomal RNA
Source: RNAcentral
UACGUAGGGUGCGAGCGUUAAUCGGAAUUACUGGGCGUAAAGCGUGCGCAGGCGGUUUUGUAAGCCAGAUGUGAAAUCCCCGGGCUCAACCUGGGAAUGGCAUUUGUGACUGCAUAGCUGGAGUGCGGCAGAGGGGGAUGGAAUUCCGCGUGUAGCAGUGAAAUGCGUAGAUAUGCGGAGGAACACCGAUGGCGAAGGCAAUCCCCUGGGCCUGCACUGACGCUCAUGCACGAAAGCGUGGGGAGCAAACAGG